CUCUGGGCUGCUGUGUGCAAGUACAGAGGUGAUGCAGUCAUACCCAACAUCUCCUGGGUCAUUUCUGAUCAGAACAUCACCCACCAUACGUCCCGGAAGCGUUCACACCAACAAUGAGAACUUUACAGUUCUGGCCACCUCGGCCUAUGAGUUUCGACGACAUCAGCAUGGAGGACGAAAACCUGACGUGUGUGAUUCAGAACGACUAUGGAGAAGACAUGAGGAAAACCAUACACGUCCCAAAAUACUUUAUUUCCUCCAUUGCGGUUUUGAACACACGGUAGACCCUGCGUCGAGAGCCGAGGACAGCAGCCUGCACUACACAGAGUGACCCUGCAGCCAGCAAUCCACAACAGAGGGUCCUUUUCAGAGUUUAUGGAACACACCAGAAUAUAAAUUUACAUGUUUCAGAGCUGAUGGGUCAGCUGCAGACACUGUUGCCACGGCGCUGUUUUUUGCGAAGCCUGUGUCAGAGCGCGAUGCUGGCAUGUACAUGUGCCACGCUUCCUGGAAGCAGCACAAAGCCUCGAUCUUCGUUCAGGUGGAUGUAACCGCCAGGAAACCUCAAUCUUGAAGCUGAGCGUGAUCUGUUUCUCUCCGCCACUGCCGUCCUCCUCAUUGUGAUCAUUCCACUGUGCGUGUUCUGCCAGUGCAGUAAAGGAUGUGGAAGGAGUAACCCGUCGGCCAAGGACAGGAAAGAGAGCGAGUCUCUGGCCGCCCUGAUGCAGGACCCGCGUUCGCCCGAGCCCAAGAAAGCAGGGACAGCGCGAGAGCAUGCCGAGCUCGUGCGCUACACCAUAGUGAUCGACGUGAAAAGCGCCGUGUGACCGUUCGAAAGUGGCCCGCGCCUUGUGUGACGUUUUGCCUUAGUCUUUCAAGUUAUACUUGUUAAACUUUGCUCAAGCUAAACAUAAAGGGUCUUGUCAUUUUCAUUUCUGACAUUUCCAUUUUCUUUAUUUUUUAUGAACAUGCACAAAUGUGAAUUUUUAAAAA
Molecule: non-coding RNA, 993 nt
Organism: Electrophorus electricus (electric eel)
Lineage: Eukaryota; Metazoa; Chordata; Actinopteri; Gymnotiformes; Gymnotidae
Source: RefSeq, a predicted model, not a curated record